UCCGGUUUGGCACCGGCAGUCUUUCUAGAGUCCCCGACUUAACUCGCUGGCAACUAGAAACGGGGGUUGCGCUCGUUGCGGGACUUAACCCAACAUCUCACGACACGAGCUGACGACAGCCAUGCAGCACCUGUGCAUGGACUCCGAAGAGGGGCCUCGGUUUCUCGAGGCUUUCCCAUGCAUGUCAAGCCUAGGUAAGGUUCUUCGCGUUGCGUCGAAUUAAACCACAUGCUCCACCGCUUGUGCGGGCCCCCGUCAAUUCCUUUGAGUUUCAGCCUUGCGGCCGUACUCCCCAGGCGGGGUACUUAAUGCGUUAGCGCCGGCACUCAGGGGGUCGCUCCCCCAAGCACCUAGUACCCAUCGUUUACGGCGUGGACUAC
This 380-nucleotide unclassified non-coding RNA is filed under the name uncultured Gemmatimonadaceae bacterium. RNAcentral describes it as "contains 16S-23S intergenic spacer region". Lineage: Bacteria; Pseudomonadati; Gemmatimonadota; Gemmatimonadia; Gemmatimonadales; Gemmatimonadaceae. The record is from RNAcentral.